AGCGGCGGAUGGGUGAGUAACACGUGGGGAACCUGCCCCUAAGUCUGGGAUACCAUUUGGAAACAGGUGCUAAUACCGGAUAAUAAAGCAGAUCGCAUGAUCAGCUUUUGAAAGGCGGCGUAAGCUGUCGCUAAGGGAUGGCCCCGCGGUGCAUUAGCUAGUUGGUAAGGUAACGGCUUACCAAGGCGACGAUGCAUAGCCGAGUUGAGAGACUGAUCGGCCACAUUGGGACUGAGACACGGCCCAAACUCCUACGGGAGGCAGCAGUAGGGAAUCUUCCACAAUGGACGCAAGUCUGAUGGAGCAACGCCGCGUGAGUGAAGAAGGUUUUCGGAUCGUAAAGCUCUGUUGUUGGUGAAGAAGGAUAGAGGUAGUAACUGGCCUUUAUUUGACGGUGAUCAACCAGAAAGUCACGGCUAACUACGUGCCAGCAGCCGCGGUAAUACGUAGGUGGCAAGCGUUGUCCGGAUUUAUUGGGCGUAAAGCGAGCGCAGGCGGAAAAAUAAGUCUAAUGUGAAAGCCCUCGGCUUAACCGAGGAACUGCAUCGGAAACUGUUUUUCUUGAGUGCAGAAGAGGAGAGUGGAACUCCAUGUGUAGCGGUGGAAUGCGUAGAUAUAUGGAAGAACACCAGUGGCGAAGGCGGCUCUCUGGUCUGCAACUGACGCUGAGGCUCGAAAGCAUGGGUAGCGAACAGGAUUAGAUACCCUGGUAGUCCAUGCCGUAAACGAUGAGUGCUAAGUGU
Molecule: ribosomal RNA, 743 nt
Filed under: uncultured bacterium
Lineage: Bacteria
Description: bacterial SSU rRNA
Rfam family: Bacterial small subunit ribosomal RNA
Source: RNAcentral